CGGUGGUGAUGCGCUUGGGGGACACACCCGUUCCCAUCCCGAACACGAUGGUUAAGACCCAAGCGGCCGAUGAUACUAUGCUGGAGACGGCAUGGGAAAAGCAGGUGGCUGCCGGAUU
This 118-nucleotide ribosomal RNA is filed under the name Clostridium sp. M62/1. Lineage: Bacteria; Bacillati; Bacillota; Clostridia; Eubacteriales; Clostridiaceae. The record is from RNAcentral.